Molecule: ribosomal RNA, 468 nt
Filed under: uncultured bacterium
Lineage: Bacteria
Description: partial 16S ribosomal RNA
Rfam family: Bacterial small subunit ribosomal RNA
Source: RNAcentral
GACGAACGCUGGCGGCGUGCUUAACACAUGCAAGUCGAACGGAAAGGCCCUGCUUUUGUGGGGUGCUCGAGUGGCGAACGGGUGAGUAACACGUGAGUAACCUGCCUUUUACUUUGGGAUAACUUCAGGAAACUGGUGCUAAUACCAGAUAGGAGCUCCUGCUGCAUGGUGGGGGUUGGAAAGUUUCGGCGGUUGGGGAUGGACUCGCGGGUUAUCAGCUUGUUGGUGGGGUAGUGGCUUACCGAGGCUUUGACGGGUAGCCGGCCUGAGAGGGUGACCGGCCACAUUGGGACUGAGAGACGGCCCAGACUCCAACAGGAGGCAGAAGUAGAGAAUAUUGCACAAUGAGCGGGAGCCUGAGGCAGAAGCGCCGCGUGCGGGAUGAAGGCCUUCGGGUUGUAAACCGCUUUAGCCUGUGACGAAGCGUGAGUGACGGUAAUGGGUGAAGAAGCACCGGCUAACUACGUG